Molecule: long non-coding RNA, 486 nt
Organism: Drosophila obscura
Lineage: Eukaryota; Metazoa; Arthropoda; Insecta; Diptera; Drosophilidae
Exons: 3
Source: RefSeq, a predicted model, not a curated record
UUGUCUGCCACAAACAAUCGAACACCGAUAAAAAAAACCAAAAAAAUGCGCACAUUCAUCAUUGUCGCUCUCUUAGCGGUGGUCGCAGUGGCUGCCGCUCAAGGACCUGGUGGUGGUCGUGGGGGUCGUGGGGGUCCAGGCGGACCUCGUGGCGGUCCUCCUGGUGGUCGUGGAGGUCCAGGAGGUCCCGGAGGUCCUGGAGGUCCUGGAGGUCCGGGAGGUCCAUGGGGUCCAUGGGGCCCAGGCGGUCCACGUAACAGCACAACAACCACGACCACAACAGCGGCAAGCUCCGCCAGCACAGAGGCGAGCACCGAGGCGAGCACAGAGGCGAGCACAGAGUCGAGCACAGACGCCUCAACCGAUGCCAGCACCUCGGGAACCUAUUAACAUGCUCCAGAUCUGGCUUAGUGCUCUGCUCCUAGGCUAUUUCCGAGUAAAUUUCCAGUAAUUAAUAAAAAUGCACGUACAUUUUCGCACAUUGAA